CCCUUAGAUGUCCUGGGCCGCACGCGUGCUACACUGACACUUACACCGAGUUUUUCCAAUGCCGAAAGGCCAUUGGUAAUCAGCAAUAAGUGUCGUGAUGGGGAUAGAUCUUUGGAAUUAUUGAUCUUGAACGAGGAAUGCCUAGUAAUCGUAGGUCAUCAGCCUGCGAUGAUUACGUCCCUGCCCUUUGUACACACCGCCCGUCGCUACUACCGAUUGAACGUUUUAGUGAGGUAUUUGGACUGGACCUUCGGAGGUUCGCGCCUCCGUUGCUGUUCGGGAAGACUCCCAAACUUGAGCGUUUAGAGGAAGUAAAAGUCGUAACA
RNAcentral lists this ribosomal RNA (326 nucleotides) under uncultured eukaryote. RNAcentral's name for it is "partial 18S ribosomal RNA". It matches the Rfam family "Eukaryotic small subunit ribosomal RNA", at positions 1470 to 1796 of the family's 1831-position model. The record is from RNAcentral.